Oxyura jamaicensis (ruddy duck) is the source of this 415-nucleotide long non-coding RNA. RefSeq lists it as uncharacterized. Lineage: Eukaryota; Metazoa; Chordata; Aves; Anseriformes; Anatidae. The transcript has 3 exons. The record is from RefSeq and is a predicted model, not a curated record.
GGAGUUAGGGGUGAGAGAUGAGUGAGAACCAGCCCUGCAGACCCCAAGGUCAGUGCAGAAGGAGGGCAGGAGGUGCGCCAGGCACCAGAACAGAAGUUCCCCUGAGGCCCGUGGAGAGGUCCCUGGUGGAGAAGGCUGUCCCCCUGCAGUCCAUGGGUCCCACAUGAAGCAGAUCUCCAUGCUGCAGCCCGUGGAGGAGCCCCCAGUGGAGCAGGUGGAUGUGGCCUGGAGGAGGUUGUGGCCCAUGGAGAGCCCCACAGGAGCAGGGCCCUGGACCGGAGCUGCAACCCGUGGAGAGGAGCCCACACAGGAGCAGGGAGUCUGGGGGGGGAGCUGCCACCAGUGGGGACCCAUGCUGGAGCAGUUUACUCCUGGGGGAUGGACCCCAUGCUAAGGACCCAUGAUGGAGAGGUUC